CCUGGUGGCUCAGAGGGUAAAGCGUCUGCCUGCAAUGCAGGCGACCUGGGUUGGAUCCCUGGGUCAGGA
Molecule: transfer RNA, 69 nt
Filed under: Bos taurus (domestic cattle)
Lineage: Eukaryota; Metazoa; Chordata; Mammalia; Artiodactyla; Bovidae
Also listed under: 2 other names
Rfam family: tRNA
About the family: Transfer RNA (tRNA) molecules are approximately 80 nucleotides in length. Their secondary structure includes four short double-helical elements and three loops (D, anti-codon, and T loops).
Source: Rfam by way of RNAcentral